GCGACCCCAGGUCAGGGGGGACUA
RNAcentral lists this ribosomal RNA (24 nucleotides) under Goodenia strangfordii. RNAcentral describes it as "partial 25S large subunit ribosomal RNA". The record is from RNAcentral. Lineage: Eukaryota; Viridiplantae; Streptophyta; Magnoliopsida; Asterales; Goodeniaceae.